RNAcentral lists this ribosomal RNA (465 nucleotides) under uncultured bacterium. RNAcentral describes it as "partial 16S ribosomal RNA". It matches the Rfam family "Bacterial small subunit ribosomal RNA", at positions 28 to 507 of the family's 1533-position model. The record is from RNAcentral.
GACGAACGCUGGCGGCGUGCUUAACACAUGCAAGUCGUACGGUAAGGCCCUUUCGGGGGUACACGAGUGGCGCACGGGUGAGUAACACGUGAGUAACCUGCCCACAACUUUGGGAUAACGCUAGGAAACUGGUGCUAAUACUGGAUAUGUGCUCCUGCUGCAUGGUGGGGGUUGGAAAGCUCCGGCGGUUGUGGAUGGACUCGCGGCCUAUCAGCUUGUUGGUGGGGUAGUGGCCUACCAAGGCGGCGACGGGUAGCCGGCCUGAGAGGGUGACCGGCCACAUUGGGACUGAGAUACGGCCCAGACGCCUACGGGAGGCAGCAGUGGGGAAUAUUGCACAAGGGGCGCAAGCCUGAUGCAGCAACGCCGCGUGCGGGAGGACGGCCUUCGGGUUGUAAACCGCUUUCAGCAGGGACGAAGCUUUUUGUGACGGUACCUGCAGAAGAAGCACCGGCUAACUACGUG